Molecule: long non-coding RNA, 5252 nt
Organism: Sarcophilus harrisii (Tasmanian devil)
Lineage: Eukaryota; Metazoa; Chordata; Mammalia; Dasyuromorphia; Dasyuridae
Source: Ensembl
CACAGUUCUCUCAACGUCUCCCCCUUCCGAUGUCUCUUUGUCUUCACCCUCGUUCAUCUCGCAGCUGGCCGGUCCAGCCGAGCGGCGGAUGUGUGAGGGGAGUGAUUCAGAAGGUGACAGGAAGCCAGCAGCCUGCCUGCCAUCCUUGUGUGUUGGUGACAGCAGAGAGAGCAGGGAGCCAGAGAAGGAUGGGCCUCCCAGAGUGAGGGCAGCUGUCGGGCUCCUAGGCAGAAGACGCCCAGAGACAUGGAUCAUACCGAGCUGCUUGGGGCCGGAGCCUCCCUUCUGCUCCUUGGGGCUGUGGCGGGCAUGUGCGUGUGGUGUCCCCGCUUAGGCACGAGGAGGUCCAAGCAGAUCUUUUAUGAGCAGAGGGAUGAGGGACGGCAGAGUUUUGCAGUGGCCCGGACCUUUUCUAUAGCGGGUAUGGUCCCCGAGACGGCCGAAUACUCCACCAUUCAGUGCCCCGAGCCCAGGAAGGACAAGUGGCUGUACUCCAUGGCUGAGGCAGAAGAUCCUGACAUCACCAGGUAUCAGAACCUCAGGAAAGGAAGCAGAAGAGAAUCAGAGCCCUCCUAUGUGUAAGCUGGUUUUUCCCUCUCAUGGGGUCUCCUUCAUGUUGGCUUUCCUUCUCAUUAUAUACAGGGGAUAGAAAAGUGGGGAGGGGGUGGGGACGUUCACCUGACAGAACCAGGCCAUUCGGACCCCUUUCUGAACUCUGGAGUGUUUAUGUCACAGGCUGGACGCUGCUGCCUGGCCUCUGAGCCCACCUCCUUCUCAAGGCCUCAAAAGAGGCUCCAAAUCUCAGACCCAAUGCCGGGAGGGGGGGGGGGAGAGAGAAGAGGAGGGGAGGUGGAGACUAAAACAGGGAAAUAAGCAAACACCCAGGCUCGGUACCGGGGAACAAGGAGGCCAUCCCUGGUAUAAUGGGGGACAGUCCUUGCCCUCCCAGAGGGCUUUUUAACACUGAGCCCUUAGAAAGUCUGCUGAAACCCGGGGACUACUCAGGAUCCUGCUUGUAAAGACUUAAAAUAAAAUUCAUAAGAUGCAAAACCAAUAUUGAGAUCCAGUGAUAGCUAUCUAUCCAUCCUGUCCAUGUACUCAUCUAUUAAGCAAUCCAUUCAUCUAUCAAUGCAUCUGCCCACCCAUCCAUCUUUUCAUCUAUCCACCCAUUUAUCCAUCUUGUCAAUCCAUCUAGCUAUUCAUCCAUCCUUCCAUAUCCAUCCAUUUAUCUAUUGAUCCGUACAUCCAUCUAUAUAACUUUCUAUCUAGUCAUCCAUUUCUCUGCCUAUUCAUCUAUCAAUCCAUCUAUCCAUCUAUCUACCCAUUUAUCCACGUAUUUGUAUAUCCAUCUUGUCUAUCCAUCUAUCCAUUCUUAUUUACUUCCUUCUUUCCUUUUUUCUUUUUCUUUCCUACUCUCCCUUCCCUUCCUCCCUUCCUCCCUUUCUUCCUUCCUUCCUUUCUUUCUUUUUUUCUUCCUUCUCUUUUUCUUUCUUCUCUUUCUUCUUUCUUUUCUUCCUUCCCUCCCUCCCUCUCUCCUUCCUUCCUUCCUUUCUACUUUUCAUUUCUUCUCUUACUCCAAGUUUACCCUGCUCUAGUCGGACUGGAGAGACCUCAGUUCUGAUGGAGACAUUGCCUGCCCUCAGGGACUAUAAGCUCAUCUAUCUAAAGCUGAAAGAGACCUCAGAGAGCAUCUAGUCCGAGCAAUUCAUUUUAUAGCUGAGGAAAUUGAGGCUUAAAGAUAGCAAAUGAAUUGCCCAAAGUCAUACAGGUAGCAAGCAGAAGAGAUGAGAUUCUGAUCUCUGUCCCUCUGAUUCCAAACCCAGCAUCCUUCCUGCUGGACCAAGUUUUCCUCAUUUGUAAAAAUAAGAUUAGACUAAAUUUAAUCCCUAAAGUCCCUUUAACUCUACAGCUACUCUACAACGUACAACUCUUUAAUUAUAAGAUUAUAUCUUCUGUUUACUUAGCUGUAAUUGGUAUAUCUUUUUGACCCUUCCUCCUCCCUCCCAUCUAUCGGAACAAAAGGUUUUGGUGGUUUGGGGGUUUGUUUCUUUUUUAGAAAAAGGGGGAGAGAAACCAAGUGAUGCAAAGAAAAAGCCUGACAGUAUCUGCAAUGUUCCAUCCAUGUGCCCUGUCCCUCCCCAAUCAUUCCCACCCCCAGUCUCUCUUCUUGGGGCCAACCUUGUUCUUUAGAAUUUGACCAAAACUUUAUUUUUAUGUCAUUGUCCUUUCCAUUUACUUGGUUUUGAUCAUUGUGUAUGUCAUUUCCCCUGGUUAUGGUCAUUGUGUAUUUCUUUCCCCCUGGUUAUGGUUAUUGUGUAUUUCUUUCCCCCAGGUUAUGGUCAUUGUGUAUUUCUUUCCCCCUGGUUAUGGUCAUUGUGUAUUUCUUUCCCCCUGGUUAUGGUCAUUGUGUAUUUCUUUCCCCCUGGUUAUUGUCAUUGUGUAUGUUGUUUCCCCCUGGUUAUGGUCAUUGUGUAUUUCUUUCCCCCUGGUUAUGGUCAUUGUGUAUUUCUUUCCCCCUGGUUAUUGUCAUUGUGUAUUUCUUUCCCCCAGUUAUGGUCAUUGUGUAUGUCGUUUCCCCCUGGUUAUGGUCAUUGUGUGUUUCUUUCCCCCUGGUUAUGGUCAUUGUGUAUUUCUUUCCCCCUGGUUAUGGUCAUUGUGUAUUUCUUUUCCCCUGGUUCUGGUCAUUGUGUAUUUCUUUCCCCCAGGUUAUGGUCAUUGUGUAUUUCUUUCCCCCUGGUUCUGGUCAUUGUGUAUGUCUUUCCCCCAGGUUAUGAUCAUUGUGUAUUUCUUUCCCCCUGGUUCUGGUCAUUGUGUAUUUCUUUCCCCCAGGUUAUGGUCAUUGUGUAUUUCUUUCCCCCUGGUUCUGGUCAUUGUGUAUUUCUUUCCCCCUGGUUCUGGUCAUUGUUUAUGUCGUUUCCCCCUGGUUCUGGUCGUUGUGUAUUUCUUUCCCCCUGGUUCUGGUCAUUGUGUGUUUCUUUCCCCCAGGUUAUGGUCAUUGUGUAUUUCUUUCCCCCUGGUUCUGGUCAUUGUGUAUUUCUUUCCCCGGUUAUGGUUAUUGUGUAUUUCUUUCCCCCAGGUUAUUGUCAUUGUGUAUGUUGUUUCCCCCUGGUUAUGGUCAUUGUGUAUUUCUUUCCCCCUGGUUCUGAUCAUUGUGUAUUUCUUUCCCCCUGGUUCUGAUCAUUGUGUAUUUCUUUCCCCCUGGUUCUGAUCAUUGUGUAUUUCUUUCCCCCAUAUGGUCAUUGUGUAUUUCUUUCCCCCUGGUUAUAGUCAUUGUGUAUUUCUUUCCCCCUGGUUAUGGUCAUUGUGUAUUUCUUUCCCCCUGGUUAUGGUCAUUGUGUAUUUCUUUCCCCGGAUAUGGUCAUUGUGUAUGUCGUACCCCCUGGCUCUCCUUCCUUCGUGGACAUCUGUCUGUCUUUCCAUUCUUUUCUAGCUUCUCUCUUCCCCUCCAAGGUUCCUUCCAUCUCUACAUCUGAUGAUUUUAUAACCUAAAUGGAGGGUGGGGCAGGUGGCUGUUGUCCACAGUAGCUCGCUGAGCCCAAAUAAGUCAGGAGAGAACAGCCCUGUUUUCAUGAAAUGUGGUCAGAAAUUGAAAAACAAAAUUUGAAGUUGCCCUUUGAGCUGAUGGAAAUUAUUGACAUCAUAAACAUUGUGGGAGGGAUGAGAGGGUGAGAAGCAAAAUAACCUUAAAUAGCAACAACAUUUAAACAAAAACAACUCGGAGGGGGAAAGGAAGCUCAGAAAGGCCGACCUUGACCUCCUGCCAGCCUCACACCUCAGCAGGAUGAGCCAUCUUGGAGGGGGGCAUCUCAUAUUUUUUUUCUCCUCCAGAGAUCCCAUUUCAACAGAUUAUUAUAACCUUGGGCAGCUCCCGAAGCAACUAAAAGACGAUGACGACACGAUCUCCUACGAGAACAUCCUGAUCUGCAAACCCAUGGAGGAAGUGGAGGAAGUGGCGGAUUAUCAGAACUCCUGUUCCAUCGAGCAGUGGAGACAGUCGGUGAAAGUGGAGAGCGCGCGCCUCUCGCUCGGAAGCCCAGAGGACGACUCCAGCGAGCCAGAUUAUGUGAAUGGAGAUGUGGGCUUCAUGCAGUAAGAAGGGAGAGAACCUGUCUUUGGGAAGUCCCGGCCUGCCCGACCCUCCCCACCCAUCCCAGCCAAGUCUCAGAGGAAGGACAUCCCUCCCAUCUCACCCAGGAGCCGCUGCCCUCGCCCUACCCCCCCCAGAGUGGUUCCACUUGGACAAAGCCCCUGUGAUCGGCAGGCGGCGGCCCCAGGACACUAUAGACGGGACCCAUGGCCCCGCCGGCCAGGAAGUUCAUCCUCCAUGGGCUGGGGAGGCUUGGGCAGUGAAGGAGGCCACAAAACUCCUGGUAUCUCCCCCACUGCGGGGCCAAAGGACUGCUUUUCAUCGCCCUCAGUUCUGUCUUGUUUGCUACCAGUCAGAAGGAGGGCCUUUUCCCAGCAGUACAGGGGAAGGAGCCCUAGAUUUGUGAGCAAAAGGCCUGGGUUCCAGUUCCACCCUUUGCUUCCUGACCUGUGUACCUUUUAGGCAGGUUUCUUCAACUCACUGGAUCUGUUUUCUCAUCUGCAAAAUGGGGGUUUGGACUGAACAGCCUCCAAGACCUUCCCAGCCCUAAACUUCUGAUCUGGUGAAGAACAUCCCUCCUGACGGGGCCAGAAGGCAGGCCCCGAGGCCCUUCCUCGGUCCUGGGAGUCUGGGUCCAGUGGGCCGAGCUUUUACUUCAUGCUGUUAUUUAUGGAGGUGGGCCUGUACUUUAUAUUGUAAUGACCUGGAGGCUUUACCUCUAAUAAAGCAUUACAGUCUUCUGUUCUCUAGUAUAUAACAGUGGCGAACGCGCCGGUUCCCUCCGUGUCCCCAUGGGGUCUGCUGGCUCCCGGACGGGCCCACUGGCUCUAAACAGGAGUUGGACCCCGGCCUGGUUGCUCCCUACCUCCCCCGGUGACUUCUUUAUGGAGGACAUCCCGAGUGUCAGGGAGGCCUGGGACCAUCCAGGUGGUUCCAGUCAGUCAGAGACCCUCCCCUUCUGUCCAGGGAACAGGCUGGCAGCAGAGCCCAGGCCUUCAGACCACUAGUCUACUGCAUGCUACUGUGGCCCCUCAGGAACUGGGCCCUUGUUGCUUCUGGAGGGACCAAAAAUGAUGCUGGCAAAGUGUCAGAGCCCAGUUCCUGCAGUGAGCGACGGGUUACUCGGGGUAGGCGGAGGAGGCCAGAUUAUGGACUCUCCCGUUUA